AUUUCAUUACUUUCAUUCUGCCAUGGCCAACCUACUUGUGUUUACUAUUAUCACGCUGUUUCUUCUCCGCUUCUGCUGCGGAUGUAUUGAGAGAGAAGCCCAUGCUCUUCUGCUCUUCAAAGCCGGCGUAAAUGACUCUGCAGGUGUACUGAGUUCGUGGGAGAAAGAAAGAGAUUGCUGCCUCUGGUACGGCAUAUCCUGUGACAACACCACUCAUCAUGUAGUUGCUGUUAAUGUUACAGGAUUCUCUCUCCCAACUGAAAUGGAGGGCAUCAUAUCUGGGAGCUUGUGCACCCUCACUUUUGUUGCAACCUUAAACCUAUCUGGACUGGGAUUGACAGGUACUAUUCCUCCCUGCUUCACAAAUCUCUCUCUUCUUGCACAACUAGAUUUAUAUUAUAAUAGAUUGAGUGGGAAUAUUCCUCCUACCCUGUCUAAUCUCUCUUCUCUAAUUUAUCUAGAUCUUUCUUCUAAUCAACUCACAGGUAGCAUUCCCUCCUCUCUCUCCAAUCUCUCUUCUCUAAUUUAUCUAGAUCUUUGUUCUAAUCAACUCACAGGAAGCAUUCCUUCCUCUCUCUCCAAUCUUUCUUCUCUAACUAAACUAUAUCUUUGUCAUAACGAACUCACAGGCAGCAUUCCCUGCUCUCUCUCUCAUCUCUAUUCUUUAACUAAACUACGGCUUGCUUAUAAUCAACUCACAGGAAGCAUUCCCUCCUCUCUCUCCAAUCUCUCUUCUCUAACUGAACUAUAUCUUGCUAAUAAUCACUUGACUGGUUGUAUCCCAGAUUCCUUGGGCAAUCUCUCUUUACUAGAGGUGAUGAUUCUUUCAGGCAACCAGCUGAAUGGAACUCUUCCCCCCUCCUUUUCAAGCCUUUCCUCCCUUACUUACCUUAGUGCUUCUAGGAAUUCAUUCAGCCAGGGUAUUGCUUCCUCAACACUACCCUCCAUGCUUAAGUUUCUCCAUCUCUCACUAAACAACCAUCAGAUAAUUUCAGAGCUUUUCUUUCAUAACCUUAGCAAAUUAUCAGAUUUGGCCUUAUCCAAUUGUGCACUUAACAACAGUCCCACAUGGAUUCCCUCAUUUCAGUUAACACGGUUGCAUUUGACAUCAUGCAAGGUGGUGGAUGGUCAAAUCCCCUCAUGGAUUUCAACUCAAUUCUCACUUGAAGAGUUGCAAAUAGCUGACAGCAAUCUUGUUGGAGAAAUUCCCUCUUGGUUACAGGAUAUGAGACUACGCUACAUCAAUCUCACAACAAAUCAUCUGCAUGGUGAUCUUUUGCUCAAUACUUCAGCUUGGAAGGCAAUAAAGGUUGUAGACAUGUCUAACAAUGCAUUGUUUGGACAGAUACCACCAAUUUGGCCACCUCAUAUACAAUUUUUGUUGCUCAAUGAUAAUUGGCUAACGGGAAAUAUUCCCCCAAGCAUGCAGGUUACCUCUUCAUUGCAAGUGUUAAACUUAGAAAAUAAUCAUUUGAAUGGAAAAAUCCCUUCAAGCAUAGCCAACUUUUCCUCACUUCAAAUUUUGAAUUUGGGGAAUAAUAAUUUUGGGGGUAUGAUACCAUCUGAGUUUGGUCAGCUAAGUCAACUACAAUCACUAGUGCUAAAGGAUAACCAGUUGAGCGGGGCAUUCCCUCCUUCAAUAUCAAAUUGCAGAAAAUUACUUUUUCUAGAUAUCGGGCAAAACCUAUUGAAAGGCCAAAUUCCAAAUUCAAUAGGAAACCUUUUACAUUUGCAAGUGUUAGCGGCCAGAAAAAAUAAUUUUGAAGGUAGCAUUCCUACAGAAAUUGGGCAGCUGAAGCACCUCCAAAUCUUGGACCUUUCUUCAAAUCAUCUAUCUGGGUCUAUACCACACAAUAUUUUCAAUUUGCAAGCAAUGUUGAUAGAAUCAAAAGAGGGAUUUAUCAGGGUUCAAAAGUAUCGAUUUAUUAGUAAAAAGUAUACAAGUUUUAUACAAGUGAUACCAAUCAUGUAUGAGGAUGGAUUAAAUAUGAAUUCUAAAGGCAGAGAUGAGCACUAUCCAUAUAUUUUUUCCACCAUGGCAGCCAUUGAUCUCUCCAACAAUCAAUUGAGUGGUAAUAUUCCUUCUGAAUUAGGAAAGUUGAAAGGCCUGAUGCUUCUCAACCUAUCCAUGAAUAAUCUCAAUGGAACAAUUCCAAAUAGUAUUGUGCAAGUUAGUCAACUAGAAUCAUUAGACCUUUCUACAAAUCAAUUUUCUGGACAAAUUCCAUGGGAGCUUGGAUCUUUGAGCUACUUGCAAGUCCUAAACUUAUCAAAUAACAACCUUUCAGGUAGAAUACCACAAGGAGGACACAUGACAACAUUUGCAAAUUCUUCAUAUGAAAGAAAUCCAAGUUUAUGGGGAUGUCCACUUCGAAGGAAUUGCUCUUGGCCAGAUUUUGCUCCUGCUCCUCCUUCCAUUUAUGCACUUGCCAAUGAAGAAGAACAAAUUGAGGAAAGUUUGUGGUAUUGGAUUGGAGUGGGACUGGCAUAUGGUGUUGGUUUUGGAGCUGUGGUGCUAUCUAUUGUACUAAGAAAGAAGUGGAGAGAAAAAUACUUUCAUGGUGUUGAUAUGGUGUUGAAAUAUUUUUUUCCAUGGCUGCACAAUUUGAAAAUAUGAAAAGUUUGUUCAAAUCUUGGAGUACUUAACUUGAAGCUUUUUAGUGGUGCAAUAAGAGGACAGUUCAUGAUCGUGAACACAACCAUGAUGAUGACUCCUCAUGUGGCUUGAAUCUUGUUACAUAUAUUUUUGUUUAAGUGCAUGGAUGGGUAUAGCCAAUAUCAAUUUUUAUUUUAAUUUUUAAAAUAGUGGCCUGUAGCCACUUCACUACUUUUUAGUCUUUUGUCCAUAUCAAAACUUUUAG
Molecule: RNA transcript, 2861 nt
Organism: Cryptomeria japonica (Japanese cedar)
Lineage: Eukaryota; Viridiplantae; Streptophyta; Pinopsida; Cupressales; Cupressaceae
Gene name: LRR receptor-like serine/threonine-protein kinase GSO1
Exons: 3
Source: RefSeq, a predicted model, not a curated record